AAAUAGCUUUAGGGCUAGCCUCAAGGUGAGAGAUACGGAGGUAGAGCACUGAAUGUCCUAGGGGGUAUUGCACCUACCGAAGACUAUCAAACUCCGAAUGCCGUCAUCUUAUACUUGGGAGUCAGACUGUGGGUGAUAAGAUUCAUAGUCGAAAGGGCAACAGCCCAGAUCGUCAGCUAAGGUCCCUAAAUGUAAGUUAAGUGGUAAAGGAUGUGGGAUUGCACAGACAACCAGGAUGUUGGCUUAGAAGCAGCCACUCAUUCAAAGAGUGCGUAAUAGCUCACUGGUCGAGUGAUCCUGCGCCGAAGAUUUCCGGGGCUAAAACUUACUACCGAAGCUACGGCAUCAGUAAUGAUGGGUAGGGGAGCUUCCCAUACGGGUUGAAGCAUGACCGUAAGGACAUGUGGACAGUAUGGGAGUGAGAAUGUUGGCAUGAGUAGCGAGAUGUGGGUGGGAAUCCCACAGGCCGUAAACCCAAGGUUUCCAGGGGAAGGUUCGUCCACCCUGGGUUAGUCGGGACCUAAGCUGAGGCCGAAAGGCGUAGGUGAUGGACAACAGGUUGAUAUUCCUGUACUACCGAUAACCGUUUGAGAGAAGGGAUGACACAGUAGGAUAAGCUAAGCACACUGUUGGUUAUGUGUGCCCAAGCAUUGAGGCAGUCAAAGUAGGCAAAUCCGCUUUGAUAAUGCUGGGAUGUGAUGGGGAGCGAAAUUUAGUAGCGAAGUAGCUGAUUUCACACUGUCAAGAAAAGUCUCUAUCGAGGUUAAAGGUACCCGUACCGCAAACCGACACAGGUGGGUGAGGAGAGUAUCCUAAGGCCAGCGAGAGAACUGUUGUUAAGGAACUCGGCAAAAUGACCCCGUAACUUAGGGAUAAGGGGUGCCACCAUCAGGUGGCCGCAGAGAAUAGGCCCAAGCGACUGUUUACCAAAAACAUAGGUUUCUGCUAAGUCGCAAGACGAUGUAUA
RNAcentral lists this ribosomal RNA (967 nucleotides) under Clostridioides difficile. RNAcentral describes it as "partial 23S ribosomal RNA". It matches the Rfam family "Bacterial large subunit ribosomal RNA", at positions 862 to 1847 of the family's 2925-position model. The record is from RNAcentral. Lineage: Bacteria; Bacillati; Bacillota; Clostridia; Peptostreptococcales; Peptostreptococcaceae.